CAAUAAGCAAAAUAAGGGCGUAUGGGGGAUGCCUAGGCUCUCAGAGGCGAAGAAGGACGUGAUAAGCUGCGAAAAGCUGCGGGGAUUGGCACAUACGAAUUGAUCCGCAGAUAUCCCAAUGGGGCAACCCACUAUGUUGAAGACAUAGUAUCCAAUAGGAGGCGAACCCGCUGAACUGAAACAUCUAAGUAGGCGGAGGAGAAGAAAACAAAAGUGAUUGCGUAAGUAGUGGCGAGCGAAAGCGCAUUAGCCCAAACCAGUGUUGUUACGGCAAUACUGGGUUGUAGGACCACAAUAUUUCUUGUAAACCGAAUUAGAAUAACCUGGAAAGGUUAACCACAGAGGGUGAUAGUCCCGUAUAAGUAAGGAAUAUAAAGGAUAGUGGUAUCCUGAGUAGGGCGGGGCACGUGAAACCCUGUCUGAAUCUGGCGGGACCAUCCGCUAAGGCUAAAUACUCCUGAGAGACCGAUAGUGAACCAGUACUGUGAAGGAAAGGUGAAAAGAACCGUGAAUAACGGAGUGAAAUAGAACCUGAAACCAUACGCCUACAAGCGGUCGGAGCAGCAAAAGCUGUGACGGCGUGCCUUUUGCAUAAUGAGCCUACGAGUUAACGUUGCUGGCAAGGUUAAGCACUUCAGGUGCGGAUCCGUAGCGAAAGCGAGUCUGAAUAGGGCGCUUGAGUCAGUAAUGUUAGACGCGAAACCGUGUGAUCUACCCAUGGGCAGGAUGAAGCUGUGGUAACACAUAGUGGAGGUCCGAACCGGUUGACGUUGAAAAGUCUUCGGAUGACCUGUGGGUAGGGGUGAAAGGCCAAUCAAACUCGGAAAUAGCUCGUACUCCCCGAAAUGCAUUUAGGUGCAGCGCAGUGGUAGAGUUAUAUAGAGGUAGAGCUACUGAUUGGAUGCGGGGGCUUCCACCGCCUACCAAUUCCUGACAAACUCGAAUGCUAUAUAAUAUACACAGCAGUGAGGGCUGGGGUGCUAAGGUCCCAGUCCGAG
Molecule: ribosomal RNA, 998 nt
Filed under: Flavobacterium columnare
Lineage: Bacteria; Pseudomonadati; Bacteroidota; Flavobacteriia; Flavobacteriales; Flavobacteriaceae
Description: bacterial LSU rRNA
Rfam family: Bacterial large subunit ribosomal RNA
Source: RNAcentral